GGUUAAGCGACUAAGCGUACACGGUGGAUGCCCGGCAGUCAGAGGCGAUGAAGGACGUGCUAAUCUGCGAAAAGCGUCGGUAAGGUGAUAUGAACCGUUAUAACCGGCGAUGUCCGAAUGGGGAAACCCAGUGUGAUUCGUCACACUAUCGUUAACUGAAUACAUAGGUUAACGAGGCGAACCGGGGAACUGAAACAUCUAAGUACCCCGAGGAAAAGAAAUCAACCGAGAUUCCCCCAGUAGCGGCGAGCGAACGGGGAGCAGCCCAGAGUCUGAAUCAGCUUGUGUGUUAGUGGAACGGUCUGGAAAGUCCGACGGUACAGGGUGAUAGUCCCGUACACCAAAAUGCACAGGCUGUGAACUCGAAGAGUAGGGCGGGACACGUGGUAUCCUGUCUGAAUAUGGGGGGACCAUCCUCCAAGGCUAAAUACUCCUGACUGACCGAUAGUGAACCAGUACCGUGAGGGAAAGGCGAAAAGAACCCCGGCGAGGGGAGUGAAAAAGAACCUGAAACCGUGUACGUACAAGCAGUGGGAGCACCUUCGGGUGUGACUGCGUACCUUUUGUAUAAUGGGUCAGCGACUUAUAUUCUGUAGCAAGGUUAACCGUAUAGGGGAGCCGCAGGGAAACCGAGUCUUAACUGGGCGUUAAGUUGCAGGGUAUAGACCCGAAACCCGGUGAUCUAGCCAUGGGCAGGUUGAAGGUUGGGUAACACUAACUGGAGGACCGAACCGACUAAUGUUGAAAAAUUAGCGGAUGACUUGUGGCUGGGGGUGAAAGGCCAAUCAAACCGGGAGAUAGCUGGUUCUCCCCGAAAGCUAUUUAGGUAGCGCCUCGUGAAUUCAUCUUCGGGGGUAGAGCACUGUUUCGGCUAGGGGGUCAUCCCGACUUACCAACCCGAUGCAAACUACGAAUACCGAAGAAUGUUAUCACGGGAGACACACGGCGGGUGCUAACGUCCGUCGUGAAGAGGGAAACAACCCAGACCGCCAGCUAAGGUCCCAAAGUCAUGGUUAAGUGGGAAACGAUGUGGGAAGGCACAGACAGCCAGGAUGUUGGCUUAGAAGCAGCCAUCAUUUAAAGAAAGCGUAAUAGCUCACUGGUCGAGUCGGCCUGCGCGGAAGAUGUAACGGGGCUAAACCAUGCACCGAAGCUGCGGCAGCGACACUAUGUGUUGUUGGGUAGGGGAGCGUUCUGUAAGCCUGCGAAGGUGACCUGUGAGGGUUGCUGGAGGUAUCAGAAGUGCGAAUGCUGACAUAAGUAACGAUAAAGCGGGUGAAAAGCCCGCUCGCCGGAAGACCAAGGGUUCCUGUCCAACGUUAAUCGGGGCAGGGUGAGUCGACCCCUAAGGCGAGGCCGAAAGGCGUAGUCGAUGGGAAACAGGUUAAUAUUCCUGUACUUGGUGUUACUGCGAAGGGGGGACGGAGAAGGCUAUGUUAGCCGGGCGACGGUUGUCCCGGUUUAAGCAUGUAGGCUGAUUGUCCAGGCAAAUCCGGAUAAUCAAGGCUGAGGUGUGAUGACGAGGCACUACGGUGCUGAAGUAACAAAUGCCCUGCUUCCAGGAAAAGCCUCUAAGCAUCAGGUAACAUCAAAUCGUACCCCAAACCGACACAGGUGGUCAGGUAGAGAAUACCAAGGCGCUUGAGAGAACUCGGGUGAAGGAACUAGGCAAAAUGGUGCCGUAACUUCGGGAGAAGGCACGCUGGUGUGUAGGUGAAGCCCCUGCGGGUGGAGCUGAGACCAGUCGAAGAUACCAGCUGGCUGCAACUGUUUAUUAAAAACACAGCACUGUGCAAACACGAAAGUGGACGUAUACGGUGUGACGCCUGCCCGGUGCCGGAAGGUUAAUUGAUGGGGUUAUCCGUAAGGAGAAGCUCUUGAUCGAAGCCCCGGUAAACGGCGGCCGUAACUAUAACGGUCCUAAGGUAGCGAAAUUCCUUGUCGGGUAAGUUCCGACCUGCACGAAUGGCGUAAUGAUGGCCAGGCUGUCUCCACCCGAGACUCAGUGAAAUUGAACUCGCUGUGAAGAUGCAGUGUACCCGCGGCAAGACGGAAAGACCCCGUGAACCUUUACUAUAGCUUGACACUGAACAUUGAGCCUUGAUGUGUAGGAUAGGUGGGAGGCUUUGAAGCGUGGACGCCAGUCUGCGUGGAGCCAACCUUGAAAUACCACCCUUUAAUGUUUGAUGUUCUAACGUUGGCCCCUUACCGGGGUUGCGGACAGUGUCUGGUGGGUAGUUUGACUGGGGCGGUCUCCUCCCAAAGCGUAACGGAGGAGCACGAAGGUUAGCUAAUCCUGGUCGGACAUCAGGAGGUUAGUGCAAUGGCAUAAGCUAGCUUGACUGCGAGCGUGACGGCGCGAGCAGGUGCGAAAGCAGGUCAUAGUGAUCCGGUGGUUCUGAAUGGAAGGGCCAUCGCUCAACGGAUAAAAGGUACUCCGGGGAUAACAGGCUGAUACCGCCCAAGAGUUCAUAUCGACGGCGGUGUUUGGCACCUCGAUGUCGGCUCAUCACAUCCUGGGGCUGAAGUAGGUCCCAAGGGUAUGGCUGUUCGCCAUUUAAAGUGGUACGCGAGCUGGGUUUAGAACGUCGUGAGACAGUUCGGUCCCUAUCUGCCGUGGGCGCUGGAGAAUUGAGGGGGCUGCUCCUAGUACGAGAGGACCGGAGUGGACGCAUCACUGGUGUUCGGGUUGUCAUGCCAAUGGCACUGCCCGGUAGCUAAAUGCGGAAGAGAUAAGUGCUGAAAGCAUCUAAGCACGAAACUUGCCCCGAGAUGAGUUCUCCCUGAGACUUUAAGUCUCCUGAAGGAACGUUGAAGACGACGACGUUGAUAGGCCGGGUGUGUAAGCGCAGCGAUGCGUUGAGCUAACCGGUACUAAUGAACCGUGAGGCUUAACCUU
Molecule: ribosomal RNA, 2899 nt
Filed under: Klebsiella pneumoniae
Lineage: Bacteria; Pseudomonadati; Pseudomonadota; Gammaproteobacteria; Enterobacterales; Enterobacteriaceae
Description: 23S ribosomal RNA
Rfam family: Bacterial large subunit ribosomal RNA
Source: RNAcentral